UAUUAAAAAUUUCAUCUAUUUGUUCAGUUAAAACUAGCAGGACUAACAGAAUAGCCGAACAAUGACAUAUGAUGUUCUAUGUAUAUCUUUGCUGAUAUAUAAGAACUAAUUUUUAACAUUAGGUAUGAAUGGAAUUUUUAAUA
This is a non-coding RNA of Gossypium arboreum, 143 nucleotides long. NCBI's taxonomy places the organism in Eukaryota, Viridiplantae, Streptophyta, Magnoliopsida, Malvales, Malvaceae. The record is from Rfam.